Molecule: unclassified non-coding RNA, 449 nt
Filed under: Hevea brasiliensis (rubber tree)
Lineage: Eukaryota; Viridiplantae; Streptophyta; Magnoliopsida; Malpighiales; Euphorbiaceae
Source: RNAcentral
AAAGUUUCAGAUACAGUGAGCAAGGGAAGGCAUGCAUCGUACUGAGGGACAUAAGCUGAGAGCUUCCGAAACGAGGAAGGGUUGAUAGGGGAGGAGUUGAGGAGGAGAGUACCAGUUGUUGGGGAAGUGCGAGCUGCUAAAAUAUCGAGGAGAGAGGAUUUUCCAGCUCCACUGGGGCCAACAAUGGCAAGGAUUUGAGAUGGAGAGGCUGUGAAAGACACAUCCUGGAGAAUAAAAGUUGGUGGGGCUGUCGUGCAGGGUUUGAAGAGGAAGAAUGGUACAAUGCUAUUAGUUAUGGUAGUACAUUUAACAUAGGAGAUUGAUGAGGCUGUUAAUUUAUAAGUCUUGAGUGAGGCAGGUGGCGGAAGCGGCGGCGGUGAUGAAGAUGGUGAUUGGAGUUCCAUGGAGGAGCAGAAGGACAGAGAAGAUGAGAGGAUAUGUUUUUGGCU